GCGAGAGUAAUUCAGUGGUAGAAUGCCAGCUUCCCAAGCUGGCUACGCGGGUUCGAUUCCCGUCUCUCGCUCCA
Molecule: transfer RNA, 74 nt
Filed under: Candidatus Omnitrophota bacterium
Lineage: Bacteria; Pseudomonadati; Candidatus Omnitrophota
Description: tRNA-Gly
Rfam family: tRNA
About the family: Transfer RNA (tRNA) molecules are approximately 80 nucleotides in length. Their secondary structure includes four short double-helical elements and three loops (D, anti-codon, and T loops).
Source: RNAcentral